RNAcentral lists this non-coding RNA (148 nucleotides) under Gorilla gorilla gorilla (western lowland gorilla). Lineage: Eukaryota; Metazoa; Chordata; Mammalia; Primates; Hominidae. The record is from Rfam by way of RNAcentral.
GCCGGGCGUGGUGGCGCAUGCCUGUAGUCCCAGUUACUCAGGAGGCUGAGGCAGGAGAAUUGCUUGAACCCGGGAGGUGGAGGUUGCAGUGAGCCGAGAUCACACCACUACACUCCAGCCUGGGUGACAGAGCAAGACUCUGUCUCAA